GCGGCCGCGGGGCUGCGCGGCGGUGGCGGCGGCGCUCCUCCUGGUGCUGCUGGGGGCCCGGGCCCAGGGCGGCACUCGUAGCCCCAGGUGUGACUGUGCCGGUGACUUCCACAAGAAGAUUGGUCUGUUUUGUUGCAGAGGCUGCCCAGCGGGGCACUACCUGAAGGCCCCUUGCACGGAGCCCUGCGGCAACUCCACCUGCCUUCUGUGUCCCCAAGACACCUUCUUGGCCUGGGAGAACCACCAUAAUUCUGAAUGUGCCCGCUGCCAGGCCUGUGAUGAGCAGGCCUCCCAGGUGGCGCUGGAGAACUGUUCAGCAGUGGCCGACACCCGCUGUGGCUGUAAGCCAGGCUGGUUUGUGGAGUGCCAGGUCAGCCAAUGUGUCAGCAGUUCACCCUUCUACUGCCAACCAUGCCUAGACUGCGGGGCCCUGCACCGCCACACACGGCUACUCUGUUCCCGCAGAGAUACUGACUGUGGGACCUGCCUGCCUGGCUUCUAUGAACAUGGCGAUGGCUGCGUGUCCUGCCCCACGUAAUUCCUAGCUGUCGUGGGAUGGAGGGAAGGGCGGCUGGGAGCAGGGCAGGGACCUGGGGUGGGGCAGGUGCUGCUGGUUCAGGAAUAGGAAGAGGGGAUAGGGAGGAGGGAGCCUUGGCCCUGUGAUGGGUGGGCCCCACUUCAGGCAAACUUAGAUGGCAAAAGAGCAAUCUGGAUCCGCCUUAGCCAGAUACAUAAGGGUAUUUGCCUUCACUUUCAGCCAGCAUUCCCCCCAGCGAUCCUAGCCAGAUAUUACAGAUG
This 798-nucleotide small RNA is filed under the name Pan troglodytes (chimpanzee). Its description in RNAcentral is "retained intron". The record is from RNAcentral. Lineage: Eukaryota; Metazoa; Chordata; Mammalia; Primates; Hominidae.